GCCGAGGUAGCUCAGUUGGUAGAGCAUCUCACUCGUAACGAGAAGGUCGGGAGUUCGAUCCUCCCCCUCGGCUCCA
RNAcentral lists this transfer RNA (76 nucleotides) under bacterium. Its description in RNAcentral is "tRNA-Thr". It matches the Rfam family "tRNA". Rfam says of the family: Transfer RNA (tRNA) molecules are approximately 80 nucleotides in length. Their secondary structure includes four short double-helical elements and three loops (D, anti-codon, and T loops). Further hydrogen bonds mediate the characteristic L-shaped molecular structure. tRNAs have two regions of fundamental functional importance: the anti-codon, which is responsible for specific mRNA codon recognition, and the 3' end, to which the tRNAs corresponding amino acid is attached (by aminoacyl-tRNA synthetases). tRNAs cope with the degeneracy of the genetic code in two manners: having more than one tRNA (with a specific anti-codon) for a particular amino acid; and 'wobble' base-pairing, i.e. permitting non-standard base-pairing at the 3rd anti-codon position. The record is from RNAcentral.